GGCGGCGGGAGAGCGGCGGGGUGCGGGUCACAGGCGGCGCAGUCAGAAGCAGUCCACGAAGCACUUGAAAGUGAGCCUGAAGAAUCUCCUGUGUGUCAGGGGCCCGGGGGCGCGCGGGCGUCGGCGGGGCCCGGCCAGGCGUCCGCGGCAGCGGUUCCGGAGGCUCUUGCCCGCGGCUCGGGCGGUGGCGGCUGCCACGGCUCCUCGGCCGACCCGAGGCUCAGCCUAGCGGGGCACGGGCGAUAUCGGCGCUCGCAGUCUGCAAGCGGCGGCUGGAGCAGGGGCCUGUGGCCCGCGCCCCCGGCCCCGGCCGGGGCCCGCGGCGGCUGCCCGGCUCACCCGAGACUCCGGUGGCGGCGGCGGCGGCUCAGGCGCGCCUCGCCCUCUCCUUCUGGGCGGCGGCGGCUGCAGCCGCUCUCGGGGCCGCGGCGGGCUCAGCGACUCGCCACCGCGUUCCGACUGUUCCUCUCUUCCCGGUUCCCGGCCGGCAGCCGCUUAAAAACCGACUCCGGGGUGAUGUCACUAUCGCCCCACCCCCACGGCUGGCCGGCCCCCCUCUCCCUCCCGCCCUGCUCGUCACAGUCCGCCCACCUUGUCCCUGCCCUCCUCCCGGGGAGGAGUCGCCGCUCCAGCGGGAGGCAGGAUGGUUGCUACCUGGGGCGGCCGCCAGCUCCUCCCGCAGUGCUCCGGGCCGCCCCUCACCCCAGGGUCGCCCGCUCCUAGUGUGGCCCAGGCUUCCCGGCCUGCCCCUCCCAGCCCUAGGAAGACGUCCCCCGGGCCCCCUCAGCCCUCCGCCUCCCCUUCUCUCCCUUUCUCCCCGCUCCUGGCAGGCUGCAGCCGUCUCCUCCCGGUGCUCGCUCCUUCCUUGAGCUCUGUCCACCGCUGCCCACUGGGGGCUAGAGCUUCCCGGCUACCCUGGAAGCUGGAGGCUGGGACCAGCUCUUCAGGUGACAGGCCUCUGUGUCUCCACAGUGGCCAGAGGGGAGCCUGCCUGACUGAUGAGCAAGGCUCCACUUUGUCACCAAGGCAGAGAAGGGGCCCGGGGUCUUCUCUGGCCCAGCCUUUGACUGAAGCUGGUCUGGAGACAGGGGCGUUAGAGAAGUGACUCAUAGAUGGCCUAAAUAAGCGGGGCCACUCAAGGACCCAGGACAGGGGGAAGAGGGCCAACCCAUCUGGACCGCAGGCAAACCCCAUGGCCUUUGAGAGAAGAGAGAAGAGGACCCGGUGAAGUAGGCUCCGAGGGCCUCAGCCCAGCAGGAGCGCAGGGAGCUGCACCAGGAACUCACAGAGGAUCAGGGAGAAUUCUGAGAACAUGCUACUGUGGUGCUGCCUAGAGAGGAAGGAUAAAUGAUGACAAGUACAUCUCUGAGUAACGGAGUUCAAGCAGGCUGGAUGGGUCCAUCUAUGGAUGAUCUUCCCCAGCCCCUUCCUCUUCCCAGCUCAUCCCUGGCUCUCUGUGUGAACAGGUCUCAUCAGUGGAAUGUGGUUGAUGAAGUGAGGUCUUCAAUUUUCUCAUCUACUGUGUGGUCAUGUUAUUUUCCUCAUCUGAGGCUUAAAAACUCACCUGCAUGCAGCACAUGACAGCUUAAAAUCUCUUGUGAACAAAACAGUAACAAAGACACCCACCAGCGUUGAGCAUCCCGUGUUGAUGACAGCGACCACCAGGGGUCAACGUCCUCUUCACAAUCCUGUGUCAGAGCAUCACUUGACUGAUUUCAUUAGCAACUUCCCAGGAGAAUCAGCUUACAAAAUACUUGUCCCAUUUUCCAUGCAGAUGUAACCCAUCUAUUUUACUGAAGAAAUGGGAAGAGCUGAAUGCUGAAUACACUGAAUGUCUGCAGGUUGUGCAAGUUUGUGACUUUAUCACUUUCUAAUUUCUGAUCUGUGUGGACCACUCUACAGAUUUUUCUCACUGGUGUGAUCAGCCUUCUGGAUGUCAAAUAUAAUAGACUUUCAAUAAUAUAAAAGUCAACACAAGCUCCUCAUGGUUUCAGUGCUCAGUGAUGACUCUAAACUUACACAAUGUGUUUCUUUAUUAGUUUUGUUUUCUGGUAUCUCUACUCGGCAUCUUCACCACACCCAUUUUAUGUUUCUUAUACAGGCUUUCUUCUAUGAAAUGCUAUGUCAUGAAUAUGCAAAUAACCUGAGAUCCACUGAGGUAAAUUUGGAUGUCUGUGCCCUGAGAGCAUCACCCAACAACCACAUCCCUCCUCUAUAGAAGCCCCUGAGAACACAGCUCCUCACCAUGGACUGUACCUGGGGGAUCCACUUCUUGGUGGCAGCUGCCACAGGUGUCCAUUCCCAGGUUCAGCUGUUGCAGCCUGGGGCUGAGGUGAAGAAGCCUGGGUCCUCAGUGAAGGUCUCCUGCCAGGCUUCCAGAUACACCUUCACCAAAUACUUUACACGGUGGGUGUGACAAAGCCCUGGACAAGGGCAUAGUGGAUGGGAUGAAUCAACCCUUACAAUGAUAACACACACUAUGCACAGACGUUCUGGGGCAGAGUCACCAUUACCAGUGACAGGUCCAUGAGCACAGCCUACAUGGAGCUGAGCAACCUGAGAUCUGAAGACAUGGUCAUGUAUUACUGUGUGAGAGACACAGUGCAAAAACCCACAUCCUGAGAGUGUCAGAAACCCCAGGAAGGAGACACCUGUGCUGACACAGAGGAGAUGACAAAGAUUAUUAGAUUAAAGAUUUGCUUAGAAAAUGACAUUAAGUCAUUAAAGAAAAGGAACAAUAUUAAUGUGUAUUUGAGAAAUUUUAAUUAUUUGAGAGAUUUUUCAUACAACAUUUAUUCUGUAAACAAAUUUCAAUGAUUAGAGAAUUAAUCAAAUUAAUGAAACUAAUAUAGAACUUCCUCUGAAGGUAUCUCUGUAAACAUUAAUUUCUUAAUCAGUGCUGUAAGUAUUUUGGAAUACAGACACAAAAUCACAUUUUAAGUCUGCAUUUAUAUCUAUUAAAAAUGCCAAAAAAAUCUCCUUUUGUGCGUGUAGCAUUUUGAAUUCCCACCAUCAAUGCAUGAUAGUUCUUGGUUUUCCACAUUCAUAUUGCCAUGUAUCCUUAUGAGAGUUGUGUGUUUUAACCAAUCUAGUAGGUGAGUAAUGGGAUCUAAUUUUUAUUUAAAUGCACAUGUCCCUCAAAAAGUUCAUAUUUAACAAUUUUCCAAUAACUUUUGUUGAGAUGCCU
Long non-coding RNA from Homo sapiens (human), 3187 nucleotides. RefSeq lists it as uncharacterized. The transcript has 6 exons. The record is from RefSeq and is a predicted model, not a curated record. Lineage: Eukaryota; Metazoa; Chordata; Mammalia; Primates; Hominidae.